This 401-nucleotide unclassified non-coding RNA is filed under the name Hevea brasiliensis (rubber tree). The record is from RNAcentral. Lineage: Eukaryota; Viridiplantae; Streptophyta; Magnoliopsida; Malpighiales; Euphorbiaceae.
UUUUCCGGAGGAGCCUUGAUCUUGACCCACAUAGACGGUGAAGAAUUCCCGAGACCAGUCAAUGCCGACACUGUCAAGAGAUACUAUGCAUAAAAAGGGGAAAGGGUGAAAACCCGAAAAAAAAAAAAAAAAAAAAAAAAAAAAAAAAAAAAAAAAAAAAAAAAUAAAAAUCAAGAACCAAAGUGGAGAAAUAAGGAAGAGGGUAUGAAACCGCGAAUAGAGAAGAGACCGUUAAGGCAUGAGACUCCGGAGAACUCGAAAUAAUGGCAGUUAAAAGACUUCAAAAAAACUAACCAUAAGGAAUAUGUGAGAUCUAUCUUUGUACCUUUUCCUCUCCUUUGAAAGUCUAUUCUUUCUAAUAAAGUUACACUUCACUCCUUCUGUUGUUAUUUUCCCCGUGC